AAUGGGGCCGGCCCUAACAAUGCAAGUCGGACGGUAGCACAGAGGAGCUUGCUCCUCGGGUGACGAGUGGCGGACGGGUGAGUAAUGUCUGGGGAUCUGCCCGAUAGAGGGGGAUAACCACUGGAAACGGUGGCUAAUACCGCAUAACGUCGCAAGACCAAAGAGGGGGACCUUCGGGCCUCUCACUAUCGGAUGAACCCAGAUGGGAUUAGCUAGUAGGCGGGGUAAUGGCCCACCUAGGCCACGAUCCCUAGCUGGUCUGAGAGGAUGACCAGCCACACUGGAACUGAGACACGGUCCAGACUCCUACGGGAGGCAGCAGUGGGGAAUAUUGCACAGUGGGCGCAAGCCUGAUGCACCCGUGCCGCGUGUAUGAAGAAGGCCUUCGGGUUGUAAAGUACUUUCAGCGGGGAGGAAGGCGAUGUGGUUAAUAACCGCGUCGAUUGACGUUACCCGCAAAAGAAGCACCGGCUAACUCCGUGCCAGCAGCCGCGGUAAUACGGAGGGUGCAAGCGUUAAUCGGAAUUACUGGGCGUAAAGCGCACGCAGGCGGUCUGUUAAGUCAGAUGUGAAAUCCCCGGGCUUAACCUGGGAACUGCAUUUGAAACUGGCAGGCUUGAGUCUCGUAGAGGGGGGUAGAAUUCCGGGUGUAGCGGUGAAAUGCGUAGAGAUCUGGAGGAAUACCGGUGGCGAAGGCGGCCCCCUGGACGAAGACUGACGCUCAGGUGCGAAAGCGUGGGGAGCAAACAGGAUUAUAUACCGUGGUAGUCCACGCCGUACACGAUGUCCACUUGGAUGUUGCUCCUUUGAAGAGUGGCUUCCGGAGCUAACGCGUUAUCUCGACCGCGUGGAGAGUACGGCCGCAGGGUUAACACUCAUAUGUAUUGACGGGGGCCCGCACACGCGGUGGAGCAUGUGGUAUAUCUCUAUGCAACGCGAAGCACUAUACCCUACUCUUGACAUCCAGAGAACUUAGCAGAGAUGCUUUGGUGCCUUCGGA
Molecule: ribosomal RNA, 1000 nt
Filed under: Pantoea ananatis
Lineage: Bacteria; Pseudomonadati; Pseudomonadota; Gammaproteobacteria; Enterobacterales; Erwiniaceae
Description: bacterial SSU rRNA
Rfam family: Bacterial small subunit ribosomal RNA
Source: RNAcentral